CAGGCCCCUCGUGGUGCUGCUUCACAACCACUGCCUAGGCUAUCUGUUCCACAGGGAGAAUGGUGAUGUCCUCCUCCAGGCCACACCCACAUUCUCUGCCCCUUCAAUGCUUCCACACUCUUAUUUGGCGUUGGCGUAUCCCCACGAGUUCUUGCUGCCGCGGCUACCUGGGGAGUCCACUCUGGCAGUUGGUGGCAACGAGCGUUGCAAGGAUCCCAAGGUUGCCAAGCGAAGCAGCUCAAAUCCCCUCGUAAUUUCCAAGCUCUGGCACCCCUUCAAAGAACCAAGGACGCGCAGCUGUUGGACGUCACCAUGCUUAAGCUCCUUUUCUGGUGUCAAACUCCUCUUACUCUUUAUGUCUUUGGCCCCUGCUCCUUUUGAGUUGUAAUGUUAAAACUUUGAGUUUGAGUUGUCUCAUAGGUGACCAGUUUGGUUAUUACUUGUGAGCUGGGUAUGUAAUCUGUGCUAAAUAGCCUUAAACCUUGUUACCGCCAAACCGUGGGGCUUUAUUAAUUUAAAGUCGAACA
Molecule: non-coding RNA, 527 nt
Organism: Lolium perenne
Lineage: Eukaryota; Viridiplantae; Streptophyta; Magnoliopsida; Poales; Poaceae
Source: RefSeq, a predicted model, not a curated record